Molecule: long non-coding RNA, 812 nt
Organism: Felis catus (domestic cat)
Lineage: Eukaryota; Metazoa; Chordata; Mammalia; Carnivora; Felidae
Exons: 5
Source: RefSeq, a predicted model, not a curated record
CACGUGACUUGCUUUGGCCCUGGAACCAGGCGUGGAAGCUCUGCGUGCGCUUGAGGCGGAAGCUUCAAGCGCUGUUGCUGGUUUCCUCCAGCUCUUUUGCUUUUUUUUCUUCUUUUUUCUCCUGCCAGGAUUAGGGCUUGUCCUAAAUAAGGGCUUUUCCUCAGCGUGGACGCUGCUCUGAAGACGCAGGGAAUAGGAAGGAGCCUGUUGCCAGCAGCAGGAACCUGUGGCGUGACCACGAAAGGAACCUUUGUGGUUGUAAGCCACUGAGGACUCCGUAAUACAAGGACAGCGGAUGUCACACUUCUCAUUUAACACACUUUUGAAUGGGGCUAGAGUAUCCGAUGGUUUCGCUGGAAAGAGAUUAAUAGUGACUCACCUCGACGUAGCACACGUAUUCAACAUUUUUAGGUUUCACAUAUAAGUAAGAUCAGGAAGCAUUUUUCAUAAUAACAAAAAACUGGAAACAUUUCAAUGCCCAUCAACUGGUGAAUUGAUCAACAAGAUGUGGAGUAUCCAUGCAGUGAAAUACUACUCAGCAAGAAAAAGGUUGGUGUAUUUCUAAGUGUGAUUCCUGGGCCACCUGCAAGAGACCCACCUUUUAAAAAUCAACUCCUGUGUUUCAAUCUGUCAAUAACAGAUUCCCGAGCCGCACUGAAAUUCACAAAUCAGAAUGAUUUUUUGAUAUCUUCAGGCUCAACUGGUUCACCUGACUUGUUCUGAUUUAUGUCUACACUUCAAGGUUAUUGACUAACAAACAGGUCAAGGCAGCCGCACAAAGUUCUGGUCAACCCAGAGGUGUCAGGAAAAUA